UACGUAGGGUGCGAGCGUUAAUCGGAAUUACUGGGCGUAAAGGGUGCGUAGGCGGUUUAAUAAGUUAAGUGUGAAAGUCCUGGGCUUAACCUAGGGAAGUCAUUUAAGACUGUUAGACUAGAGUAUGGGAGAGGGUAGUGGAAUUUCCGGUGUAGCGGUGAAAUGCGUAGAGAUCGGAAGGAACACCAGUGGCGAAGGCGGCUACCUGGCCUAAUACUGACGCUGAGGCACGAAAGCAUGGGGAGCAAACGGG
Molecule: ribosomal RNA, 253 nt
Filed under: uncultured bacterium
Lineage: Bacteria
Description: partial 16S ribosomal RNA
Rfam family: Bacterial small subunit ribosomal RNA
Source: RNAcentral